CGAGCGGACAGAAGGGAGCUUGCUCCCGGAUGUUAGCGGCGGACGGGUGAGUAACACGUGGGUAACCUGCCUGUAAGACUGGGAUAACUCCGGGAAACCGGAGCUAAUACCGGAUAGUUCCUUGAACCGCAUGGUUCAAGGAUGAAAGACGGUUUCGGCUGUCACUUACAGAUGGACCCGCGGCGCAUUAGCUAGUUGGUGAGGUAACGGCUCACCAAGGCGACGAUGCGUAGCCGACCUGAGAGGGUGAUCGGCCACACUGGGACUGAGACACGGCCCAGACUCCUACGGGAGGCAGCAGUAGGGAAUCUUCCGCAAUGGACGAAAGUCUGACGGAGCAACGCCGCGUGAGUGAUGAAGGUUUUCGGAUCGUAAAGCUCUGUUGUUAGGGAAGAACAAGUGCAAGAGUAACUGCUUGCACCUUGACGGUACCUAACCAGAAAGCCACGGCUAACUACGUGCCAGCAGCCGCGGUAAUACGUAGGUGGCAAGCGUUGUCCGGAAUUAUUGGGCGUAAAGGGCUCGCAGGCGGUUUCUUAAGUCUGAUGUGAAAGCCCCCGGCUCAACCGGGGAGGGUCAUUGGAAACUGGGAAACUUGAGUGCAGAAGAGGAGAGUGGAAUUCCACGUGUAGCGGUGAAAUGCGUAGAGAUGUGGAGGAACACCAGUGGCGAAGGCGACUCUCUGGUCUGUAACUGACGCUGAGGAGCGAAAGCGUGGGGAGCGAACAGGAUUAGAUACCCUGGUAGUCCACGCCGUAAACGAUGAGUGCUAAGUGUUAGGGGGGUUUCCGCCCCUUAGUGCUGCAGCUAACGCAUUAAGCACUCCGCCUGGGGAGUACGGUCGCAAGACUGAAACUCAAAGGAAUUGACGGGGG
This 875-nucleotide ribosomal RNA is filed under the name Bacillus aerophilus. Its description in RNAcentral is "bacterial SSU rRNA". It matches the Rfam family "Bacterial small subunit ribosomal RNA", at positions 63 to 919 of the family's 1533-position model. Lineage: Bacteria; Bacillati; Bacillota; Bacilli; Caryophanales; Bacillaceae. The record is from RNAcentral.